AACACAUGCAAGUCGAGCGGAUGAAGGGAGCUUGCUCCUGGAUUCAGCGGCGGACGGGUGAGUAAUGCCUAGGAAUCUGCCUGGUANUGGGGGAUAACGUCCGGAAACGGGCGCUAAUACCGCAUACGUCCUGAGGGAGAAAGUGGGGGAUCUUCGGACCUCACGCUAUCAGAUGAGCCUAGGUCGGAUUAGCUAGUUGGUGGGGUAAAGGCCUACCAAGGCGACGAUCCGUAACUGGUCUGAGAGGAUGAUCAGUCACACUGGAACUGAGACACGGUCCAGACUCCUACGGGAGGCAGCAGUGGGGAAUAUUGGACAAUGGGCGAAAGCCUGAUCCAGCCAUGCCGCGUGUGUGAAGAAGGUCUUCGGAUUGUAAAGCACUUUAAGUUGGGAGGAAGGGCAGUAAGUUAAUACCUUGCUGUUUUGACGUUACCAACAGAAUAAGCACCGGCUAACUUCGUGCCAGCAGCCGCGGUAAUACGAAGGGUGCAAGCGUUAAUCGGAAUUACUGGGCGUAAAGCGCGCGUAGGUGGUUCAGCAAGUUGGAUGUGAAAUCCCCGGGCUCAACCUGGGAACUGCAUCCAAAACUACUGAGCUAGAGUACGGUAGAGGGUGGUGGAAUUUCCUGUGUAGCGGUGAAAUGCGUAGAUAUAG
This 654-nucleotide ribosomal RNA is filed under the name Pseudomonas sp. AT-MI-33. RNAcentral's name for it is "bacterial SSU rRNA". It matches the Rfam family "Bacterial small subunit ribosomal RNA", at positions 50 to 699 of the family's 1533-position model. Lineage: Bacteria; Pseudomonadati; Pseudomonadota; Gammaproteobacteria; Pseudomonadales; Pseudomonadaceae. The record is from RNAcentral.